This 395-nucleotide ribosomal RNA is filed under the name uncultured bacterium. RNAcentral's name for it is "bacterial SSU rRNA". It matches the Rfam family "Bacterial small subunit ribosomal RNA", at positions 28 to 424 of the family's 1533-position model. The record is from RNAcentral.
GACGAACGCUGGCGGCGUGCUUAACACAUGCAAGUCGAGCGGUAAGGCCCUUUCGGGGGUACGACGAGCGGCGAACGGGUGAGUAACACGUGGGUGACCUGCCCUCCAGCUCUGGGAUAAGCCUGGGAAACCGGGUCUAAUACUGGAUAUGACUCCAUGACGCAUGUUGUGGGGUGGAAAGCCUUGUGCGGCUGAGGAUGGGCCCGCGGCCUAUCAGCUUGUUGGUGGGGUGAGGCCUACCAAGGCGACGACGGGUAGCCGGCCUGAGAGGGCGACCGGCCACACUGGGACGUGAGACACGGCCCAGACUCCUACGGGAGGCAGCAGUGGGGAAUCUUGCGCAAUGGGCGAAAGCCUGACGCAGCGACGCCGCGUGAGGGAUGACGGCCUCGGUU